UGUGGAGCUUUAGACCUAAAAUAAACCACGUUUAAUAUACUAAAAUUAAUAGCAAAAACUUAGUGGGCAUUUAUUUAAGUGUCUUUGGUUGGGGCGACCGCGGAGUAAAACACAACCUCCAUGUGGACGGGGAUACUAUCCCUAAAACUCAGAGCCUCCACUCCAAGCAACAGAAAUUCUGACCUCACUGAUCCGGUACAGCCGAUUAACGAACCCAGUUACCCCA
Molecule: ribosomal RNA, 226 nt
Filed under: Merluccius hubbsi (Argentine hake)
Lineage: Eukaryota; Metazoa; Chordata; Actinopteri; Gadiformes; Merlucciidae
Description: partial 16S ribosomal RNA
Source: RNAcentral